Molecule: unclassified non-coding RNA, 148 nt
Organism: Macaca fascicularis (crab-eating macaque)
Lineage: Eukaryota; Metazoa; Chordata; Mammalia; Primates; Cercopithecidae
Rfam family: Metazoan signal recognition particle RNA
About the family: The signal recognition particle (SRP) is a universally conserved ribonucleoprotein. It is involved in the co-translational targeting of proteins to membranes.
Source: Ensembl
GCUGGGUGUGGUGGUGUACACCUGUAAUCCCAGUUACUCGGGAGGCUGAGGCAGGAGAAUCAUUUGAACCCAGGAGAUGGAGUUUGCAGUGAGCCAAGAUCAUGCCACUGCACUCCAGCUUGUGUGACAAAGUGAAAUCCUGUCUCAA